This 86-nucleotide transfer RNA is filed under the name mouse gut metagenome. It matches the Rfam family "tRNA". From Rfam's summary of the family: Transfer RNA (tRNA) molecules are approximately 80 nucleotides in length. Their secondary structure includes four short double-helical elements and three loops (D, anti-codon, and T loops). The record is from RNAcentral. RNAcentral also lists the same sequence under 1 other name.
GAGAGGUGGUCGAGUGGUUUAAGGCACCAGUCUUGAAAAUUGGCGUGCGUUCAUAGCGUACCGUGGGUUCGAAUCCCACCCUCUCC